CCUUACCUACCUUGACAUGCUAGGAGCUUGCCAGAGAUGGCUUGGUGCCGAAAGGGAACCUAGACACAGGUGCUGCAUGGCUGUCGUCAGCUCGUGUCGUGAGAUGUUGGGUUAAGUCCCGCAACGAGCGCAACCCUUGUCAUUAGUUGCUACAUUCAGUUGGGCACUCUAAUGAGACUGCCGGUGACAAACCGGAGGAAGGUGGGGAUGACGUCAAGUCCUCAUGGCCCUUAUAGGUGGGGCUACACACGUCAUACAAUGGAUGGUACAAAGGGUCGCCAACCCGCGAGGGGGAGCCAAUCCCAUAAAGCCAUUCGUAGUCCGGAUCGCAGUCUGCAACUCGACUGCGUGAAGUCGGAAUCGCUAGUAAUCGUGGAUCAGAAUGUCACGGUGAAUACGUUCCCGGGUCUU
Molecule: ribosomal RNA, 411 nt
Filed under: uncultured Polaromonas sp.
Lineage: Bacteria; Pseudomonadati; Pseudomonadota; Betaproteobacteria; Burkholderiales; Comamonadaceae
Description: bacterial SSU rRNA
Rfam family: Bacterial small subunit ribosomal RNA
Source: RNAcentral